CCCAAAUCCGUAAAUCCAGUUAAAUCCCUCCAAAUAAUCGCUCACCUUACAACUCCUCUCUCUCCCGCGAACCACCAGCUACGGCGGAACCACUGCACCUCGCUUCCUCUGUCCCUCACGACUCUCCGCCUCUGUACCUCACGACCCUCCGCCUCCUACUUCGCUAGUCGGAGGAUUGAGAACGGAAAACCCGUUCUUCUAGUCUCUCUCCUCUCCUUCGAGAAAAACCCCACCCUGCACCUCCGACUUCGACGACCACCGCCAGUGCUGCCUCCACUCAAUAUCUCCUUCAGUCUCUCUCCAUUGUCAACUCAACCGCCUAACUCCGAAUUUAAGGAAACUGGAUCAGCUAAUAGACGGAUGGGUUCAGUUGCGGAGAAUCUGUAUAUAGAUGAAAAGGUGUCCGGUGAUGCAAACUCGGGUUCAAGUGAAGAUAGGCAUGUCAAACGUUUGCUUGACCAGAUUAGCAAGACUUUGCUGGUUGAGGAGAAGAAAACUGCUAUAGUUGAACUUGUGUUUGCUGUCUGGAGUAGUACUGGACAAAUGGCCUUUGGAGAAACGGGAUUCCAUGUGAUAUUGAGCAUCUUAAAGGAGAAGCCCAAUGAUGUUCAGAUGGUCCGGAAUGCUCUGGAAACUCUUUUGAUGGCUGUAACUCCAACAAAUUAUGCAAAAGGGCCUUCAGAUGAGGUUCCGCCGAAUUUGAUAAAUAGUAACUUGCUCUUAAGCGAAAAAGAGAAUAUUUCUAUUCUCUUAAGUUUGUUGUCACAUGAGGAUAUCCAUGUACGAUACGCUACGCUUCAACUUUUGAUGCCCCCCCUAAAUAAAUCUCCACAAAAGUUACUGGAAGUUAUAUGUAGCAUUCCCAGUGGUAUCAAACAGCUUCUGAAUUUUCUUAACGACGAUUGUAAGGUAUGAACUAGAAAUGAUAAAAUUACUAUGCUCUUGGUUUUCAUGGGAUUCUAAUUUUUGCAUGUCUUGAAGCUCUUACGAAAUGAGGCAAUGACAUUUCUGACUUUCUUGAACUGUGAGGCUGAAGAAAUUCAAGAACUUCUAGCCUUUGAAGGUGCUUUUGUAAAGAUAUUCAGCAUUAUAGAAGAUGAGGGAGGUUUAGAAGGAGGAGUUGUUGUGCAGGACUGUCUUAUACUGCUGAGCAAUCUCCUCCAUUGUAGUGCAUCGAAUCAGGCAGCACUAAGAGAGGCAAUCGGCUUUGAUAAGUUGCUAUCAGUUCUGAAGCUGAGAAAGGCGACCUACAGUUUUUCAUCAGAUAUGACAACAAUUGUACUUUGUGUUCUAGAAAUCAUUAAUUUGCUUAUCACGGGCGCCCCAGAAACGGAUCCUACCCGAGAUUCAGAUAAGCUGACUAAUAAAACAGUCUUGGUUCAGGAAAAGGUCUUGGACUAUCUCUUCAUGUUAGGUGUUGAGAGUCAAUGUGCUCCAGUUGCAGUGCGGUGUACGGCACUUCAUUGCAUUGGUGAUUUGAUAGCGGAUCACCCCAAGAAUCUCAAAGAACUUGCAAGCAAAAGGUUCGGAGAGGAACCAGAUUUAGAGCCUGCUUUGAAAUCUGUCUUCCAGAUGGUUUUGCGCACUUCUAGUAAGCAAGAAUUCAUGGCAGCUGACUAUCUUUUUAAGAACUUUUGUCAGCGAAAUCCGGAUGGCCAGACAAUGCUGCUGUCUACUGUAAUUCUGCAGCUACAGUCAAUGAUUCAUGCCCCUGUUGAGAAUGAUAUUAACAUGUCAUUUGGAAGCCAUGAUCUUACCACAGGUGAAAACAAAGGCGAUCUUGAGACUUGUUCUAGAGCUGCCAGUGUUCUUUCGCAUGUCAUUAAGGGUAAUAAUCUAUGCAAGGAAAAGGUUCUGCAUAUUGAACUUCUACAACCUACUCCCAUUCUAGGAAGCCCAGAGCCUUUGUUACACUGUAUGGUGAAGUAUCUGGCUCUUGCCUCUUGUAUGAAAAGUAAAGAUGGAAAAUCAAGCACAUCCGAGAAUGUGUUUGUUCAGUCUGUUAUCCUGAAACUGUUAAUUAUUUGGCUUUCUGAUUGUCCAAAUGCGGUGCAAUGCUUCUUGGAUUCACGUUCUCACCUAACGUAUUUGCUGGAGCUGGUCUCAAGUCCUACCACAACUGUUGGUGUAAGGGGCUUGACUGCAGUACUAUUAGGGGAAUGUGUAAUCUACAACAAAAGCAAUGCUAGUGGAAAGGAUGCCUAUAGCAUAGCUGAUGCCAUAAGCCAAAAAGUUGGGUUUACAUCGUACUUCUUAAAGUUUGAUGAAAUGCAGAAAAGCCAUCUUUUUACAUCUGCUAAACCAUUUUUGCCAAUUAAACCAUUGACAAGAUCUACUGUUGCUAGUAUGGAUGAGAUUGAAUAUGGUAGAACUGAACCAUCUGAUGAGCAUUGUAUGCUUACAUCAGUAUUUGAUUCUCCAUUCAUAUAUUUUUUGGAGUGCUUAGUGGCUGAUAUUAGAGAAAAGAUGGUAGAAGCUUACAGCAGCCCAAAUAGCCAGGUGACUGUGGUACCAGCAGAACUGGAACAAAGGAGUGGAGAAAAUGAUGUUGACUAUAUCAAGCGGCUGAAGACUUUUGUGGAGAAGCAAUGCCAUGAGAUACAGAACCUUUUGAGUCGGAAUGCCACUUUGGCGGAGGAUCUGGCCAGAACUGGUGGGAACAACUCAUCCUCGCUUGAGCGCAAAGUAAGUGGGGGUUCAGACAGAGUUCAACUGGAGACUAUGCGUAGAGAUCUUCAAGAGGCUUCUCAACGUAUAGAAACGCUAAAGGCAGAUAAAGCCAAGGCUGAAUCGGAAGCUUCAACAUACAAAAACUUAGCUGGAAAGACGGAAUCUGAUCUUAAAAGCUUGUCCGAUGCAUACAACAGUCUGGAACAAGCCAACUACCGACUAGAAAAAGAAGUUGAGGCUUUGAAGAGUGGAGACAUCGAGGCGUUAAAGGAAGAAGCAAGGGAAGAAGCUCUGAAGGAGAGUGAAGCUGAAUUGAGUGAUUUGCUCGUGUGCCUCGGACAAGAACAAAGCAAAGUUGAGAAACUUAGCAGUAGACUGAGAGAGCUAGGUGAAGAUGUAGGUAAAUUGCUGGAAGACGUCGUGGAUGAUGUUGAUGCUGAUGAAGACGACUAGUCUUACUGAUGUUUUCUUGAUCUACAACAGACUAGCCUUUACUGUGUUCCAAAAUUUUGUAUAAGCAUAUCUGUUUUUUUUUGUGUAUAUAUCUGAUAUAAUUGAGAAAAGACGGUUAUUAAUGAAGUUGUUUCGAAUUUUC
RNAcentral lists this unclassified non-coding RNA (3265 nucleotides) under Hevea brasiliensis (rubber tree). Lineage: Eukaryota; Viridiplantae; Streptophyta; Magnoliopsida; Malpighiales; Euphorbiaceae. The record is from RNAcentral.